RNAcentral lists this ribosomal RNA (398 nucleotides) under uncultured bacterium. RNAcentral's name for it is "partial 16S ribosomal RNA". It matches the Rfam family "Bacterial small subunit ribosomal RNA", at positions 355 to 743 of the family's 1533-position model. The record is from RNAcentral.
UGGGGAAUAUUGCACAAUGGGCGCAAGCCUGAUGCAGCCAUGCCGCGUGUGUGAAGAAGGCCUUCGGGUUGUAAAGCACUUUCAGCGAGGAGGAAGGUGGUGAACUUAAUACGUUCAUCAAUUGACGUUACUCGCAGAAGAAGCACCGGCUAACUCCGUGCCAGCAGCCGCGGUAAUACGGAGGGUGCAAGCGUUAAUCGGAAUUACUGGGCGUAAAGCGCACGCAGGCGGUUUGUUAAGUCAGAUGUGAAAUCCCCGGGCUCAACCUGGGAACUGCAUUUGAAACUGGCAAGCUAGAGUCUCGUAGAGGGGGGCUAGAAUUCCAGGUGUAGCGGUGAAAUGCGUAGAGAUCUGGAGGAAUACCGGUGGCGAAGGCGGCCCCCCUGGANGAAGACUGA